UACGUAGGGGGCUAGCGUUGUCCGGAAUCAUUGGGCGUAAAGAGCUCGUAGGUGGUUCGGUAAGUCGGGUGUUAAACCCCCAGGCUCAACCUGGGGACGCCACUCGAUACUGCUGUGACUAGAGUCCGGUAGGGGAGCGUGGAAUUCCUGGUGUAGCGGUGAAAUGCGCAGAUAUCAGGAGGAACACCAGCGGCGAAGGCGGCGCUCUGGGCCGGUACUGACACUGAGGAGCGAAAGCGUGGGUAGCAAACAGG
RNAcentral lists this ribosomal RNA (254 nucleotides) under uncultured bacterium. RNAcentral describes it as "partial 16S ribosomal RNA". It matches the Rfam family "Bacterial small subunit ribosomal RNA", at positions 524 to 776 of the family's 1533-position model. The record is from RNAcentral.